GCCGGGCAUGGUGGCUCACGCCUGUAAUCCCAGCACUUUGGGAGGCCGAGACGGGUGGAUCACUUGAGCUCAGGAGUUCAAGAUCAGCCUGGGCAACAUGGUGAAACCCCGUCUCUU
This 117-nucleotide non-coding RNA is filed under the name Pan paniscus (pygmy chimpanzee). Lineage: Eukaryota; Metazoa; Chordata; Mammalia; Primates; Hominidae. RNAcentral also lists the same sequence under 1 other name. The record is from Rfam by way of RNAcentral.